RNAcentral lists this ribosomal RNA (253 nucleotides) under uncultured bacterium. RNAcentral's name for it is "partial 16S ribosomal RNA". It matches the Rfam family "Bacterial small subunit ribosomal RNA", at positions 524 to 776 of the family's 1533-position model. The record is from RNAcentral.
UACGUAGGGUGCAAGCGUUAAUCGGAAUUACUGGGCGUAAAGCGUGCGCAGGCGGUUUUGUAAGUCUGUUGUGAAAGCCCCGGGCUCAACCUGGGAAUUGCGAUGGAGACUGCAAGGCUUGAAUCUGGCAGAGGGGGGUAGAAUUCCACGUGUAGCAGUGAAAUGCGUAGAGAUGUGGAGGAAUACCGAUGGCGAAGGCAGCCCCCUGGGCCAAUACUGACGCUCAUGCACGAAAGCGUGGGGAGCAAACAGG